This 2790-nucleotide ribosomal RNA is filed under the name Klebsiella oxytoca. RNAcentral describes it as "bacterial LSU rRNA". It matches the Rfam family "Bacterial large subunit ribosomal RNA". The record is from RNAcentral. Lineage: Bacteria; Pseudomonadati; Pseudomonadota; Gammaproteobacteria; Enterobacterales; Enterobacteriaceae.
AGCGUACACGGUGGAUGCCCUGGCAGUCAGAGGCGAUGAAGGACGUGCUAAUCUGCGAAAAGCGUCGGUAAGGUGAUAUGAACCGUUAUAGCCGGCGAUGUCCGAAUGGGGAAACCCAGUGCAAUUCGUUGCACUAUCGUUUGAUGAAUACAUAGUCAAACGAGGCGAACCGGGGGAACUGAAACAUCUAAGUACCCCGAGGAAAAGAAAUCAACCGAGAUUCCCCCAGUAGCGGCGAGCGAACGGGGAGCAGCCCGGAGUCUGAAUCAGCUUGUGUGUUAGUGGAAGCGUCUGGAAAGUCGCAGGGUACAGGGUGAUACUCCCGUACACUAAAGCACACAGGUUGUGAACUCGAAGAGUAGGGCGGGACACGUGGUAUCCUGUCUGAAUAUGGGGGGACCAUCCUCCAAGGCUAAAUACUCCUGACUGACCGAUAGUGAACCAGUACCGUGAGGGAAAGGCGAAAAGAACCCCGGCGAGGGGAGUGAAAAAGAACCUGAAACCGUGUACGUACAAGCAGUAGGAGCCUCUUUAUGGGGUGACUGCGUACCUUUUGUAUAAUGGGUCAGCGACUUAUAUUCUGUAGCAAGGUUAACCGUAUAGGGGAGCCGCAGGGAAACCGAGUCUUAACUGGGCGUUAAGUUGCAGGGUAUAGACCCGAAACCCGGUGAUCUAGCCAUGGGCAGGUUGAAGGUUGGGUAACACUAACUGGAGGACCGAACCGACUAAUGUUGAAAAAUUAGCGGAUGACUUGUGGCUGGGGGUGAAAGGCCAAUCAAACCGGGAGAUAGCUGGUUCUCCCCGAAAGCUAUUUAGGUAGCGCCUCGUGAAUUCAUCUUCGGGGGUAGAGCACUGUUUCGGCUAGGGGGUCAUCCCGACUUACCAACCCGAUGCAAACUACGAAUACCGAAGAAUGUUAUCACGGGAGACACACGGCGGGUGCUAACGUCCGUCGUGAAGAGGGAAACAACCCAGACCGCCAGCUAAGGUCCCAAAGUCAUGGUUAAGUGGGAAACGAUGUGGGAAGGCCCAGACAGCCAGGAUGUUGGCUUAGAAGCAGCCAUCAUUUAAAGAAAGCGUAAUAGCUCACUGGUCGAGUCGGCCUGCGCGGAAGAUGUAACGGGGCUAAACCAUGCACCGAAGCUGCGGCAGCGACACUAUGUGUUGUUGGGUAGGGGAGCGUUCUGUAAGCCGUUGAAGGUGGCCUGUGAGGGUUGCUGGAGGUAUCAGAAGUGCGAAUGCUGACAUAAGUAACGAUAAUGCGGGUGAAAAACCCGCACGCCGGAAGACCAAGGGUUCCUGUCCAACGUUAAUCGGGGCAGGGUGAGUCGACCCCUAAGGCGAGGCCGAAAGGCGUAGUCGAUGGGAAACAGGUUAAUAUUCCUGUACUCGGUGUUACUGCGAAGGGGGGACGGAGAAGGCUAUGUUGGCCGGGCGACGGUUGUCCCGGUUUAAGCAUGUAGGCGGAUGUUCCAGGUAAAUCCGGAANNNNNNNAACGCUGAGGUGUGAUGACGAGGCACUACGGUGCUGAAGUGACAAAUGCCCUGCUUCCAGGAAAAGCCUCUAAGCAUCAGGUAACAUCAAAUCGUACCCCAAACCGACACAGGUGGUCAGGUAGAGAAUACCAAGGCGCUUGAGAGAACUCGGGUGAAGGAACUAGGCAAAAUGGUGCCGUAACUUCGGGAGAAGGCACGCUGAUAGGUAGGUGAAGUGGUUUACCCAUGGAGCUGAAAUCAGUCGAAGAUACCAGCUGGCUGCAACUGUUUAUUAAAAACACAGCACUGUGCAAACACGAAAGUGGACGUAUACGGUGUGACGCCUGCCCGGUGCCGGAAGGUUAAUUGAUGGGGUUAUCCGUAAGGAGAAGCUCUUGAUCGAAGCCCCGGUAAACGGCGGCCGUAACUAUAACGGUCCUAAGGUAGCGAAAUUCCUUGUCGGGUAAGUUCCGACCUGCACGAAUGGCGUAAUGAUGGCCAGGCUGUCUCCACCCGAGACUCAGUGAAAUUGAACUCGCUGUGAAGAUGCAGUGUACCCGCGGCAAGACGGAAAGACCCCGUGAACCUUUACUAUAGCUUGACACUGAACACUGGUCCUUGAUGUGUAGGAUAGGUGGGAGGCUUUGAAGUGUGGACGCCAGUCUGCAUGGAGCCAUCCUUGAAAUACCACCCUUUAAUGGCUGGUGUUCUAACGUGGGCCCCUAAUCGGGGUUGCGGACAGUGUCUGGUGGGUAGUUUGACUGGGGCGGUCUCCUCCUAAAGAGUAACGGAGGAGCACGAAGGUCAGCUAAUCCUGGUCGGACAUCAGGAGGUUAGUGCAAUGGCAUAAGCUGGCUUGACUGCGAGCGUGACGGCGCGAGCAGGUGCGAAAGCAGGUCAUAGUGAUCCGGUGGUUCUGAAUGGAAGGGCCAUCGCUCAACGGAUAAAAGGUACUCCGGGGAUAACAGGCUGAUACCGCCCAAGAGUUCAUAUCGACGGCGGUGUUUGGCACCUCGAUGUCGGCUCAUCACAUCCUGGGGCUGAAGUAGGUCCCAAGGGUAUGGCUGUUCGCCAUUUAAAGUGGUACGCGAGCUGGGUUUAGAACGUCGUGAGACAGUUCGGUCCCUAUCUGCCGUGGGCGCUGGAGAAUUGAGGGGGGCUGCUCCUAGUACGAGAGGACCGGAGUGGACGCAUCACUGGUGUUCGGGUUGUCAUGCCAAUGGCAUUGCCCGGUAGCUAAAUGCGGAAGAGAUAAGUGCUGAAAGCAUCUAAGCACGAAACUUGCCCCGAGAUGAGUUCUCCCUGACUCCUUGA